CAGUCGAACGGCAGCACGGGAGCAAUCCUNGUGGCGAGUGGCGAACGGGUGAGUAAUAUAUCGGAACGUGCCCAGUUGUGGGGGAUAGCCCGGCGAAAGCCGGAUUAAUACCGCAUACGACCUGAGGGUGAAAGCGGGGGAUCGCAAGACCUCGCGCAAUUGGAGCGGCCGAUAUCAGAUUAGCUAGUUGGUGGGGUAAAAGCCUACCAAGGCGACGAUCUGUAGCUGGUCUGAGAGGACGACCAGCCACACUGGGACUGAGACACGGCCCAGACUCCUACGGGAGGCAGCAGUGGGGAAUUUUGGACAAUGGGCGCAAGCCUGAUCCAGCCAUGCCGCGUGCGGGAAGAGGGCCUUCGGGUUGUAAACCGCCUUUGUCAGGGAAGAAAUGGUCUGAACUAAUACUUUGGACUAAUGACGGUACCUGAAGAAUAAGCACCGGCUAACUACGUGCCAGCAGCCGCG
This 465-nucleotide ribosomal RNA is filed under the name uncultured soil bacterium. Its description in RNAcentral is "bacterial SSU rRNA". It matches the Rfam family "Bacterial small subunit ribosomal RNA", at positions 59 to 519 of the family's 1533-position model. The record is from RNAcentral.